GAUGAACGCUGGCGGCGUGCCUAAUACAUGCCAGUCGAGCGAAGAGACGAGGAGCUUGCUCCUCGGACGUUAGCGGCAGGGGUGUGAGUAACACGGGGAUAACCUACCUAUAAGACUGGGAUAACUUCGGGAAACCGGAGCUAAUACCGUAUAAUAUAUUGAACCGCAUGGUUCAAUAGUAAAAGACGGUUUUGCUGUCACUUAUAGAUGGAUCGUCGCCGCAUUAGCUAGUUGGUAAGGUAACGGCUUACCAAGGCAACGAUGCGUAGCCGACCUGAGAGGGUGAUAGGCAAACUUGGAAUUGAGACACGGUCAAGAAUCCUACGGGAGGCAGAAGAAGGGAAUCUUCCGCAUUGGGCGAAAGCCUGACGGAGCAACGCGGCGUGAGUGAUGAAGGUUUUCGGAUCUUAAAACUCUGUUAUUAGGGAAGAAGAAAUGUGUAAGUAAAUAUGCACGCCUUGACGGUACCUAAUCAGAAAGCCACGGCUAACUACGUG
This 497-nucleotide ribosomal RNA is filed under the name uncultured bacterium. Its description in RNAcentral is "partial 16S ribosomal RNA". It matches the Rfam family "Bacterial small subunit ribosomal RNA", at positions 28 to 507 of the family's 1533-position model. The record is from RNAcentral.